GCAGUCGUGCGAGAAGCCUCUUCGGAGGUGAGUAAAGCGGCGCACGGGUGAGUAACGCGUGGGUAAUCUGCCCUCAGGUUUGGGAUAACCCCGGGAAACCGGAGCUAAUGCCGAAUAAGACCACGAUGACUUCGGUCGAUGUGGGAAAAGGUGGCCUCUUCUUGAAAGCUAUCGCCUUUGGAUGAGCCCGCGUUUGAUUAGCUUGUUGGUGAGGUAACGGCUCACCAAGGCACCGAUCAAUAGCUGAUCUGAGAGGAUGAUCAGCCACACUGGAACUGAGACACGGUCCAGACUCCUACGGGAGGCAGCAGUCGGGAAUAUUGGGCAAUGGGCGAAAGCCUGACCCAGCAACGCCGCGUGAAGGAUGAAGGCCCUCGGGUCGUAAACUUCUGUCGAGAGGAAAGAACGCGUGCGGGUGAAUAAUCCGUACGUCUGACGGUACCUCCAAAGGAAGCACCGGCUAACUCCGUGCCAGCAGCCGCGGUAAUACGGAGGGUGCAAGCGUUGUUCGGAUUUAUUGGGCGUAAAGCGAGUGUAGGCGGCUUGACAAGUCGGAUGUGAAAUCCCGGGGCCCAACCCCGGAACUGCACCCGAUACUGUCAGGCUAGAGUCCCGGAGAGGAUGGCGGAAUUCCCGGUGUAGGGGUGAAAUCCGUAGAUAUCGGGAGGAACACCAGUGGCGAAGGCGGCCAUCUGGACGGUGACUGACGCUCAGACUCGAAAGCGUGGGUAGCAAACAGGAUUAGAUACCCUGGUAGUCCACGCCGUAAAACGGUGAGUGCUCGUUGUCGUGGGUAUUGACCCCUGCGGUGA
Molecule: ribosomal RNA, 812 nt
Filed under: uncultured marine bacterium
Lineage: Bacteria
Description: bacterial SSU rRNA
Rfam family: Bacterial small subunit ribosomal RNA
Source: RNAcentral